AUAACUACUACAUUGUUCUAUUAAACUGAUAAUGCAUCGAGAAGAAUUAAAAGUUAGAUAACAUAUUUUCUAUAAUAGAAAAAAUGGAAUAUUCCAAGUACAUGAACCUCGUACACAUCAGAAGAAAACCGAUUACGAAAAGUGAAUAGAAAUGAUUAUUAAACCUUCCAACACUUCUCUCUCUUGGUGGUAGAUUUUUUAUAAUACAGUAUGUUCCGAAUUAUUUACGAUUUAAAAAAUAGGUAUGAUCACUUCGCUGAUAUUCUGAUCGCUUUUAACAAAUAGAUGUUCUAGUGCAUGAAUUAUAAAUGGAUGAAUAUUAAUACCUAAAUCGUUAUUCUUCAUAGUACGUAUAAUACAUAGCGUUGCGCCUCCAAAAAAAAUAUAGUGAAUCAAACUCCGUCGAUUAAAAAUCAGUUAAAUGUGAAAAUACUAAGCAUUUUGUCACACGAAAACAAAAAUAUGAAUCACCCUAUGUGUACAUUCAAAAAGUCUGUCUUCAAGAGACGCUAGGUGAAGAAAAUGAUUAUUUCCUGCGAUUAGCGUUUUCUGACCCAUUUGAAUUGGGCGCCGUAACUCUCUAUGUGCAAGCAUAGUACACAGCGGAUUUCUACUUUUCAGAAUGGCGGUCUUCUGAUAUUUUCGUCCGCAUAGCUUGUUUGGUUCAGUUAUCGUUAUUUUUUCGAUUAAUAUUCCAAUUUUUAAUGAGUUGCAAAAUGAAGAAAAGCAACUCAAGAACACGUUCUACUGUCAACUUUGUCUUAAAAAAUAGAAUUUAAACUUCAUUAAGCCCAAAUUAUGACAUAAACAAAGAAAAUGUAUGUUUCUCAAACGCACCUGUGAAAAAAAAUAUUCACACAAAUGGACAGAAAUCUCACUUCAAAAUUUGAGUGGUAUCAGUCACAAUGACACACUAAAUAAUAGUCUCAAUAAUUUAGACCUGGGUAUAGAAUUACAAACAUUUGCAGGAAUUUUUGUAAAUAGUAUCUGUAGUAUCUAAGGAGUCUAUCUAUCUAUCUACGUAAUUUCACAAUUUACAUAAAUAAUAACAAGGACGCGCAUUGUUAUGUUUCAUCUCGUGAGAAUUACAGCAGAUUACAAAGUUUCAAAUCCAGCAAUUAAAAUUAAAUUAAAAUUAAAAAAAGGCCAUACUAUGGUGGAAGUAGACUCCGUACAUUCAUCAUUAGUACAUUACUUCAAAGCUCCUAUUUUUACGCCCGCCGAAUAUGUAAGCAGAAUGAGACAGGCGAGAUCUAAACAGCCUUAUUCGAUAAACCAAGUGAAUUACUCUUUUUUUAAAGACUUUGAGAGCCUUCCAAACAAUUUCUCAUCGAUAAGCUGAUCCAACAGUUGUAAAUAUCAGGACUAUUCUCUAUGAAAACGAUAAAUUCUCUUACAAAAUCAGACACAGCGAUGAAUGACCUCCUGUCUCAACGUAGACUUAGUCACAAUAUCAAUCCUCUAAAAAAUUGUACAAGAACAGCUAAAAAUUGAAACGUCAACGUAUAAUGUAUUGCAGUCUUUAAAAGAAUCAAUGCAUAAGUCCUAUUACUAAUAUCCAUGUGAAACAAAUGAUUUUUACUUUGUUUUUCAAUUCUAAUAUGUUUGACGAUAAUUAUCGAUUCUGUUGUUUAUAAAUUUUAAUGAAUUUCUUGAUUUAUUUAAAUAAAAUGAUAAAAAAUGAUUUUUUGUACUACUUCCUUAUGCUUCUUCAGUUUACGAAAACAGCUAUGUGCAAAUAAAAAAUAUCCAAAUCCGCUAUGUGUAUACCAAAUAAAAAAAUAAUUUCUUUACAAAAGUACUGGAUUUAUGAAUAGAAUAACGCUUUACCAAUAAAAUUUGUCAAUCGUUUUUGUUUAAUGGUUCCCUAUUUGUAUAUUGAUAGUGAAAAAUAAUUUGGUAAUAACAUUAUUUAUUAUUUAUUUAUUAUUAUUAUUAUGAACUUGUAAACUCACAUUUUGUGGGUUUACUUUAUCAUUAACAAAAAAUAAAAGCGUUUUUCACAAAAUGUUGGCCAGAAGUUUAUAGUAGAAAAGGAGAAACAAUAUAAUUUCAAUAAACUAGAAAUAAAUUUCAUAGACUUUGUGAUUUUUAAAAGGAAGAAAUAAAAUUCGAAUCCUUAUUUUCAGAGUACUAGGGUUGUAUGAAAAGGUUUAUUGAGUUUUUUUGUCAGAAAAUCGUUCAUAAUGAUAACAUGUAAGAUGGUGUGUUAAACGCACAAGUUUUCUAUAACUACAGAAUUUCAGCUACUAUCAGACUUUUUGCCGAUUUUCAAUUAUUAUUUACUUUUGUUUGGCUGAGUUAUUCAUAUAUUUUAUUUUACACCACCCUAUUGUUUCGAACUUAGUCCGGUCCUUAGUUCAAUUUUGGUCAUUAUUCAUACAAUCUUGGAUAUAUCUACAUUUGAAGGAUUAAAUAAAAUACAGUAAAAA
Diorhabda sublineata is the source of this 2432-nucleotide long non-coding RNA. RefSeq lists it as uncharacterized. The transcript is spliced from 2 exons. The record is from RefSeq and is a predicted model, not a curated record. NCBI's taxonomy places the organism in Eukaryota, Metazoa, Arthropoda, Insecta, Coleoptera, Chrysomelidae.